AGUGGCGGACGGGUGAGUAACGCGUAAGAAUCUAACUUCAGGACGGGGACAACAGUGGGAAACGACUGCUAAUACCCGAUGUGCCGCAAGGUGAAACCUAAUUGGCCUGGAGAAGAGCUUGCGUCUGAUUAGCUAGUUGGUGGGGUAAAGGCCUACCAAGGCGACGAUCAGUAGCUGGUCUGAGAGGAUGAGCAGCCACACUGGGACUGAGACACGGCCCAGACUCCUACGGGAGGCAGCAGUGGGGAAUUUUCCGCAAUGGGCGAAAGCCUGACGGAGCAACGCCGCGUGAGGGAGGAAGGUCUUUGGAUUGUAAACCUCUUUUCUCAAGGAAGAAGUUCUGACGGUACUUGAGGAAUCAGCCUCGGCUAACUCCGUGCCAGCAGCCGCGGUAAUACGGGGGAGGCAAGCGUUAUCCGGAAUUAUUGGGCGUAAAGCGUCCGCAGGUGGUCAGCCAAGUCUGCCGUCAAAUCAGGUUGCUUAACGACCUAAAGGCGGUGGAAACUGGCAGACUAGAGAGCAGUAGGGGUAGCAGGAAUUCCCAGUGUAGCGGUGAAAUGCGUAGAGAUUGGGAAGAACAUCGGUGGCGAAAGCGUGCUACUGGGCUGUAUCUGACACUCAGGGACGAAAGCUAGGGGAGCGAAAGGGAUUAGAUACCCCUGUAGUCCUAGCCGUAAACGAUGGAUACUAGGCGUGGCUU
Molecule: ribosomal RNA, 700 nt
Filed under: uncultured bacterium
Lineage: Bacteria
Description: bacterial SSU rRNA
Rfam family: Bacterial small subunit ribosomal RNA
Source: RNAcentral